CUACGGGCUGCUCCAGUGGGGAAUAUUGCACAAUGGAGGAAACUCUGAUGCAGCAACGCCGCGUGGAGGAUGACACUUUUCGGAGCGUAAACUCCUUUUAUAUAGGAAGAAGAUGACGGUACUAUAUGAAUAAGCGCCGGCUAACUCCGUGCCAGCAGCCGCGGUAAUACGGAGGGCGCAAGCGUUACUCGGAAUCACUGGGCGUAAAGAGCGUGUAGGCGGAUUAAAAAGUCAGAGGUGAAAUCCUAUAGCUUAACUAUAGAACUGCUUCUGAAACUCUUAAUCUAGAAUAUGGGAGAGGUAGAUGGAAUUUCUGGUGUAGGGGUAAAAUCCGUAGAGAUCAGAAGGAAUACCGAUUGCGAAGGCGAUCUACUAGAACAUUAUUGACGCUGAGACGCGAAAGCGUGGGGAGCAAACAGGAUUAGAUACCCGCGUAGUC
RNAcentral lists this ribosomal RNA (439 nucleotides) under uncultured bacterium. RNAcentral's name for it is "partial 16S ribosomal RNA". It matches the Rfam family "Bacterial small subunit ribosomal RNA", at positions 339 to 795 of the family's 1533-position model. The record is from RNAcentral.